AAGGGAGACCUAAUUCAGGUAGGAGACGAAAAAAAAGUAGUCGCUACCAGGAAUCAAUCCCAAAAGGUCGGAGCGAGGCGAAAUUGGCUUUCAAACUAGGUUCUGGGUUCACACAAGACCUGAAUCAGGAACAAGGGCUAUUAGCUCAGGUGGUUAGAGCGCACCCCUGAUAAGGGUGAGGUCCCUGGUUCGAGUCCAGGAUGGCCCACCUGCACAGGUGGCAAAAACAAAGAAGCGAGGAAUCAGCACCUUAUCUUAUUUAUAUAGUAAGAGAGAAUGCUGGCUCUGAGUAAAGAGUCCAGAGGAACCUUGAAAACUGCAUAGAGCUAGGUGAAAAAGCCAAAAAAGAAGACCGCAA
RNAcentral lists this transfer RNA (358 nucleotides) under Microcystis aeruginosa. The stretch from base 135 to 208 matches the Rfam family "tRNA". The record is from RNAcentral. Lineage: Bacteria; Bacillati; Cyanobacteriota; Cyanophyceae; Chroococcales; Microcystaceae.